Phascolarctos cinereus (koala) is the source of this 806-nucleotide long non-coding RNA. RefSeq lists it as uncharacterized. Lineage: Eukaryota; Metazoa; Chordata; Mammalia; Diprotodontia; Phascolarctidae. The record is from RefSeq and is a predicted model, not a curated record.
GUUUAGAGGUUAGGUUUUCUUAGGCCUCAUCUGCUACUACUGAUGCAUCCAGUUCAGAAGAACAAGUUUUGAUAUGGAUUAUUACUUUAAAAAUCCAUCUAUGGCCAUAUAAAAAGAAGCACAAGUUGAGUCCCAGAGAAAUCACAGAGUUCUAAAGAAAUAAGCAGAUGUCACUGAUACGCAACCUCCAGGGGUCUUUGAAAGAUGAAGAGAAUGGGAGAGAUGUACUGAAGGACUGGAAAAUAUCAAUGUUCAUUAUUUCAGCAUUUAACAACAGGAAAAAGAAAAACUACUCGGGAAUAAGCAUCCUACUUUUAACAGGAAGGAAACCUAUUUCAUUUUUAAGAUCUGCUGUUGCAUCCUGACAUCACCAUUUGUUGGCCUUGUCACUCACAGAACAUGGAUUGUGGAGCAGAUGUGAUACCAACUAUCAAACUACUGCAAUAAUCUGGAAGAGGUAUAAGGGCUUAAACUACAGGUGUCUUCUUUCCAAGCUUCACUAUUUCUGCCAGUCACUACCAUUCUUCAGUUUCCCAUGUCAUGGCUCUGAUGCUAUUUUUGACCUCUUGCUCUCUGAAUAUACAUACACCCAGUUGAUGUCUUGCCAUUUCUACUUCCACAACAUCUCUUAAAUCCAACCCAUUCUCUCUAUACUGACCACCUUAGUCACCUCUCACUUUGACUAUUGUAAUGACCUCCUCAUUGGCCUCUCUGCCUCAAAUCCCUCCUUACUUCCACUUAUUCUCUAUACAGGGGCCUAAGUGACUUCUUUAAGUGGAGAUCAUUUCACCCCUCUACUCAAUAAA